CCUUACUGUUCAGACAUCAGGUAGGAUCAGUCCCUUACUGUUCAGACAUCAGGUAGGAUCAGUCCCUUACUGUUCAGACACCAGGUAGGAUCAGUCCCUUACUGUUCAGACACCAGGUAGGAUCAGUCCCUUACUGUUCAGACAUCAGGUAGGAUCAGUCCCUUACUGUUCAGACGUCAGGUAGGAUCAGUCCCUUACUGUUCAGACAUCAGGUAGGAUCAGUCCCUUACCGUUCAGACACCAGGUAGGAUCAGUCCCUCACCGUUCAGACACCAGGUAGGAUCAGUCCCUCACCGUUCAGACAUCAGUUAGGAUCAGUCCCUCACCGUUCAGACAUCAGGUAGGAUCAGUCCCUCACCGUUCAGACAUCAGUUAGGAUCAGUCCCUCACCGUUCAGACGUCAGGUAGGAUCAGUCCCUCACCGUUCAGACACCAGGUAGGAUCAGUCCCUCACCGUUCAGACGUCAGUUAAUGUCAGUCCCUCACCGUUCAGACACCAGGUAGGAUCAGUCCCUCACCGUUCAGACACCAGGUAGGAUCAGUCCCUCACCGUUCAGACGUCAGGUAGGAUCAGUCCCUCACCGUUCAGACACCAGGUAGGAUCAGUCCCUUACCGUUCAGACAUCAGUUAGGAUCAGUCCCUCACCGUUCAGACAUCAGUUAGGAUCAGUCCCUCACCGUUCAGACAUCAGGUAGGAUCAGUCCCUCACCGUUCAGACAUCAGGUAGGAUCAGUCCCUCACUGUUCAGACGUCAGUUAAUGUCAGUCCCUUACUGUUCAGACAUCAGUUAAUGUCAGUCCCUCACCGUUCAGACAUCAGGUAGGAUCAGUCCCUUACUGUUCAGACAUCAGUUAA
This is a long non-coding RNA of Oncorhynchus keta (chum salmon), 856 nucleotides long. RefSeq lists it as uncharacterized. Lineage: Eukaryota; Metazoa; Chordata; Actinopteri; Salmoniformes; Salmonidae. The transcript is spliced from 4 exons. The record is from RefSeq and is a predicted model, not a curated record.